GGGGUUGUGGCUCAGUGGUAGAGCACCUCCCAGCACAUGCGAGGCUCUGGGUUCGAUCCUCAGCACCACA
This 70-nucleotide transfer RNA is filed under the name Marmota monax (woodchuck). RNAcentral describes it as "tRNA.Ala". The record is from RNAcentral. Lineage: Eukaryota; Metazoa; Chordata; Mammalia; Rodentia; Sciuridae.